This is a long non-coding RNA of Gallus gallus (chicken), 1629 nucleotides long. The record is from Ensembl. NCBI's taxonomy places the organism in Eukaryota, Metazoa, Chordata, Aves, Galliformes, Phasianidae.
UUUGUUUGAAGGCUGAGCAGAUGGGGAUAGCUGCUGGGUUUGGAGGAUGUGGAGAAAUUUGGAAAAGUAUUGACCUGGGAGAGCUAAAGAGAGGCUUUUAAGAUCAAGUUACCAUCGCCAAAAGUAUCAGCAACAUAGAACUCCAAUUCCUGGACUAUCGAAGCCACUCGGAAAGUUUUGAAAUAUCUGGUCUGGGUAUUCUAAUCUUGGAAGAGUAAGAAAAGAGUGAGAGGAAAGAAGCUCUUAUGCAACUCUACAGCAUCUGAAGUCUGAGGUCAAUUCCAUCAUACUUCCUUUGGGCGCAGGAAUCUUACCAUUAUGGAGUCCAGAACAGUGGGAUUUUGGCAUCAUAGGCAUGCUUGAGAAAACAACGUGCCCUAUUGCAUUUUAAGAAACUCUGAUUUUGGUUUAUCUUUUGCUAGUAACUUAAAACUGCUGAUAUUGAGGCUGAGAUUCUGCUGCUUGGUAGAGAGCCAUUGAUGCUGAUUUUUUUUAAAGGAAUGGAAAGGUUUAACCACAUACAUAAUACCCAUAGCUUAACUAAAAUCCUAGCUUUUGUUGGACGUACUUUUAGGCAAAUAAUAACCAGUGUUUUCUUUUGAAAAAUGCAGUAUUGCACAGCGGUCAGUGGUUAGUAUUUACCAGCAACAUAGCUAGUUAUUGUCUGUGAAAGCUCAGGGUUUUGUGUGUUGAAUAUUAUAACAACAAGCUCUUAGCACUUUGCUGCUUCCAGCAAGAAUAGCUCACUAAUUCAGUUUAGUAAAAUACUGCGAUACUUUUAGUGCCAAUAAUGAGAUCUGGGGACUUUCAGAAACAACAAUUACGGUGUAUCAUUUCUGCUGCCCCCACGGCAAAGCCUUUAGGCAUUGAAACAGUUUUGAGAAAUGAAUAUAUACUAUUGCUAAUGUUGGCUUUCAUUUAUCUAGUGAACCUUUUUCUUAUUUGCUGUUUUACUGAGUUUCUGUUGUUCAGCCAACACAAGCCUCUUUUUUUUUUUUUUUUUUACAGAGAAGAGAGAGGAAAAUACACGACUUGGGUAAGAUGUGCCUGGUUAUAUCUGAAAAAGACUGAUAUGAAGUCUCAAAAAGUUUGCUUUCUUAGGUAUUCCCUGGAGAGAAGUGGUUCCGAGGGAGAGUGACCAAGUCUUCAACUACAAUGCUCUAGCAAUGACAGUCCCCUGCAAUGGCAAUUGGGCACAGCUGAGAAGGGCACCUACCCUACUGCACAGUGACCUGAGAACCCUGAAGUAAUUCCUCUUUUUAUUUCUGAAUCACCCUGCUCACACCAAGGUUUUUGUCUGCUGUGGACUCUUGAUCCCAUUUGGGCCAGUGCAUUAUGGGUGAACUAGCCUGAAGAAGUGCUCAAUGUCAGAAAUCUGUGAAGUCCACCAUGAUUUUCUUUUCAGAAGGCGGAUUUUCAGAGAUGCUAUUAGCACUAAGAUCAGUGCUUUCUUUCCCUCCGCUGAUACUUGAGAAGCUUUGUUUUACUGUGGAUAAUGAAACCGUAAUGCUGGGCUCCGUAAUUGCAGACAAAUGUGGUUCAGACUUGUGUUGGGGGCCUGUAGGUGAUGACUGAACACAUUUUUGCUGAAAGCUCGAUUACAAUAAAUCUCAAGGGAGCUGCGUGUCU